UGGGGAAUAUUGCACAAUGGGCGCAAGCCUGAUGCAGCCAUGCCGCGUGUAUGAAGAAGGCCUUCGGGUUGUAAAGUACUUUCAGCGGGGAGGAAGGCGAUAAGGUUAAUAACCUUGUCGAUUGACGUUACCCGCAGAAGAAGCACCGGCUAACUCCGUGCCAGCAGCCGCGGUAAUACGGAGGGUGCAAGCGUUAAUCGGAAUUACUGGGCGUAAAGCGCACGCAGGCGGUCUGUCAAGUCGGAUGUGAAAUCCCCGGGCUCAACCUGGGAACUGCAUUCGAAACUGGCAGGCUAGAGUCUUGUAGAGGGGGGUAGAAUUCCAGGUGUAGCGAUGAAAUGCGUAGAGAUCUGGAGGAAUACCGGUGGCGAAGGCGGCCCCCUGGACAAAGACUGACGCUCAGGUGCGAAAGCGUGGGGAGCAAACAGG
Molecule: ribosomal RNA, 429 nt
Filed under: Chloroflexota bacterium
Lineage: Bacteria; Bacillati; Chloroflexota
Description: Chloroflexi bacterium partial 16S ribosomal RNA
Rfam family: Bacterial small subunit ribosomal RNA
Source: RNAcentral